This 714-nucleotide long non-coding RNA is filed under the name Nicotiana benthamiana. Its description in RNAcentral is "long non-coding RNA (NBEN_LNC033986)". Lineage: Eukaryota; Viridiplantae; Streptophyta; Magnoliopsida; Solanales; Solanaceae. The record is from RNAcentral.
AAAAAAGAAAGAGAAAAGAAAAGGAAAAAGUUAGCAACAAAAACAAACAACUUUCUUUUGAACUACAUUCGACCUGAUUCCUUUUAAGGAUACGUAGGCACCUUAUGAUUUGGUCCCAGCACAAUAAAAAUUAAAAUUCCGCAAACCCAAAGCAACUGGGGUAGAAGUUUUGGUUUUGAAAAGAUCUAAUUCCAAGAGUUUUAAUUUUGACCCCUUUACAUCUUAAAUUAUUUUGAGCCUUCAUGCGACCCUUUCUUUCUAACCCCAUCCAAAAGCCUAUAUUACGGUCCAAAGAAAGACCUUUCGAUCAAUAUUUGAGGGGUCAAGAGAGAUAAAGGUAUGAUUUACAUCAUGGGUAACACUUUGUUCAUGGGUGCAAGAGAGAAAAUUUAAAACAAGAGAGUCUUAUUGGUGAAAAAAUCCUCGCGGGCACCGUAAGGCAAUGGUGAGCUGAGAGAAAAUUUAAAAUGAGAGAGUCUUAUUGGUGAAAAUCCUCAUGGGCGUCGUAAGGCGAUGGUGAGUUGGGAGAUGAACAAAUGAGAGAGGCUUAUUGGUAAAAACUCUUCAGGGCACUGCAAGUCGAAUCCUCACAGGCAACAUAAGGUGAUGGUGAGCUGAGAGAUAAACAAAUAAGAGGGGGUUGUCGCUGAAAACCCUUUUAGGGCACAACAAGUCGAAUGAGGCUCAUAACUUUACAGACAAAAUGGAUCGGUG